Molecule: long non-coding RNA, 306 nt
Organism: Haliotis rubra (blacklip abalone)
Lineage: Eukaryota; Metazoa; Mollusca; Gastropoda; Lepetellida; Haliotidae
Exons: 2
Source: RefSeq, a predicted model, not a curated record
CACAUGGUCCCUAGUACAAAUUCACUCGAACGCACCUGUAACAUACCUGUCUGUAACAGGUAUGACUUGACAUGUAGAUAUCUCUUACCUGUAACAUACCUGUUACAGACAGGUAUGACUUGACAUGUAGAUAUCUAUAUAUGUUACCUGUAACACAUACCCUUGGUGUGAACAGUUACAGAUACGACGAGUUGACAUGUAGAUAUCUGUUACCUGUAAAACAUACCUUUGGUGUGAACAGUUACAGGCAGGUAUGAGUUGGCAGCAGUGGCAAUCUGUUAAUAUUUAUCACUUUACUGUUAAAAA